UAGGUCAGGAAUGCAAUAACAGUGAUUAUUAAUUUAGCCCGGCUUCCAGAGAAUAAUACAUAUAUACGUUUAUUGCAAAGAGUUAUUUUACGAUAUAACAAAUUAACCAAAAUUCAUCAGGGUUGUAUAAGACAUAUAAAAAGGAAAAAUACAAAUAAGUCAAAUUUCUUUCUAAAAAGGUCUUUGGGUUUUAACUGUACCUUCCCCUAAAGCUCCGUUGUUGCACUCAGGUCCUUCGGGUCCAUUGAAAGACACUUUACAGGAGUAUCUUAAAGUACUCACGUGCGCAUUGAAGAAUGCCCAUUUCAGUGCCCUCAGUGCUCAACAUGCUGGAGAUCUUAAAAACACUAUAUUCAAGUGGGGGAUGAGGUAAUGAUACAGAAAAUAGGGAACUUAGGACUAAUGUCCUCCAGGUAUGAGGGUCCUUAUUCGGUGUUGUUGACUACUCCAACAUUUCUUCUUGUUGAAAUUGAGCCAGGGCUGACUCGAUGGAUGCAACUUGCACAAGUGAAGCCUCUGUCGCCGCUUGCUGAUACUAACUCUCUUUCUAAUGUGAUUUAGUCCAACAGGUGCAGUAUUUUAUAUCCAAGGAAUGGCUGCUAAGGAAGAACAAUGACUAAUUGUUUCCUCUCUUUAGGUUCUCAACUAUGAUUCCAUCCGGACCUGUUGUGUUAAUAAUAAAAAAAAAAAAAAAAAAAAGAGAGAGACUGAAAACCAUGGUGUUUAUGUUUGUGUGUAUUGGUGUUGUCCUGUUUGGUUGUCUAUGUGUCGUUGUGUGUGUUGUGUUUUUAUCCCAAAAUUUCUGCUCCUACUAUUCUUUAUCUCUAAAAGGUACGAGUGCAUGCUGUCACAGAAAUAUUCUGCGACUGGUUCUAAGGGUGACUCUUUGAUGUGACUUCUGCAACAGUGCAGCUCAUUGACAUUCUGGGAGUGGUUGCUGUGCUCGUGGCUGGACAUCAGUGUUCAUCGCAUCAUCAUAACAUUACUCGUUAACUAAUUCUACGUCAUCAUCUGAGAGACCUGUGCUAAAAUCUAACCAGCUGAUAGAUAUACAUAGAUUUACAAAUUCCUACAUUAAGAUGCCUUAAAAGAUUGUUGAUCAAAGAGAUUCUUAUUCUCCCAUUUAUACCAGUAGUCGUGAGGAAAUCUAUACCUUGCAGGUGAAGGGUAAGGAAAGGAAAGGUAUGAGAUGUUGAAAACGAUCAACGAAAGUUUGGAAAUAAACGACAUGGUACCAUAAGGACAAAUAUCUUCAACUACUAUCUCCCAAGGGCAAGAAGAGAAAGAACGAUGAUAGAGUUUAGAGUUGGGAAAGAUGGAAGGCUGUGGUAAGUCCUCAACCCAGCAAAAGUCCAGGGGACGCCAGGGGUCGAAUUUCCUUAGGAGUUCUCGUCUGGCCAUCUUGGUGAAGAUCUUUGUUAAUUUUAAGGUAGCUGGGGUUAGAGAGGUAUCUACAGUACUAUCUGUCUGAAAUUGUUUUAUUGAUUUUCUAUAUUUUCAUGUAUGCAUCAUGUAUUUUUCUUUUGAAUUACUCUGUAUUUUUUGGUUUUGAUUUAAGGAAAAGGUUGUGGCGAGUCUUUUGAUAAGACUCGAGUGGGGGAUUGGUGUGUGGAGAUUCUAAGAAAUCCACAUGGUGAUAGAGAUUCUGAGAAGAAGUCCACGUAUUUAAAUUAAACCCAAGUGUUGUUGAGAGAUUCUGAGAAGUCACGUACUCAGAAUGUGUUCUAUUCAUAAUGAUAAGUUUCAUUUCAAAAGUUAAAAAAAUAAUAUUUCAUGUCUCAUAUAUAUAUAUAUUAAUAGGUUUCAUUUUUAUAUUCAAAAAUGUUUUUGGUAAACUUUAUGGUAUAUUUCAUAUGUAAUUUCACAGUAUUUCUAACUGCGUAGUCAGCUGAGUCUGUUUUGCAUAUGAAGUUGAACUGUAUGUAUUGUUCUUUUGUAUCAAUAUUUCUUAGAAUUAUCAGUAUGAUACUUUGAAUCUAAAAGAGGAAGAAGUCCAAAAUCGAGACAUUGACUAGACUAGUUUUAAAGGUCAGGUGUUAUUAGUGAUAGCCAGAUGACGACUUAUGUCUAGAACAACAGUAUAUAAGAUAGACUCUGCAAAAUAGAAGGGGGUUUUGACUUUCUGAGACUCUGGUCUCUCUAUCUUUUCAGCUCAUUUCCUCUUCUUUGGCUUCACUCGACAACUCUUAGAUUCAGACUUAGAACUCUUACAGGUUUUUAUUCAAAUUCAGAUACCUUGAAAUUCAGAUACUUUGAUACUCUGAUACUUUGAUAUUUUAAUAUUUUAAUACUUAAUAUUUUGGUACUUUUGAUUCGAACAUAAUAAUUGUUUAUGUUUUAAUUACAAUUGUAUUAAUGUUUUGAUUAAUACUGGUUGGGUUCAAUCCAUCAUAAAUGGAUUGUUAUUAAAAAUGUACUAACAUUGGAUUUACAUUUUCUAUAUUUGAAGGUUGUUAUUAUUAUCCAGAACUUUAUUUCCAAGUUAUGAUUUGUGGUUUCUGUUCUCUAUAUUCUUUUUAAUAAAUUUACAUAUCAUUACACCUUGACCGUCUGAAUUGGAUUAAAUUUUGCAUCAGUUAAUA
Molecule: long non-coding RNA, 2582 nt
Organism: Cyprinus carpio carpio
Lineage: Eukaryota; Metazoa; Chordata; Actinopteri; Cypriniformes; Cyprinidae
Source: Ensembl